Molecule: ribosomal RNA, 455 nt
Filed under: uncultured organism
Description: partial 16S ribosomal RNA
Rfam family: Bacterial small subunit ribosomal RNA
Source: RNAcentral
CGUACACUCCUACGGGAGGCAGCAGUGGGGAAUAUUGGACAAUGGGCGCAAGCCUGAUCCAGCCAUGCCGCGUGAGUGAUGAAGGCCCUAGGGUUGUAAAGCUCUUUCACCGGUGAAGAUAAUGACGGUAACCGGAGAAGAAGCCCCGGCUAACUUCGUGCCAGCAGCCGCGGUAAUACGAAGGGGGCUAGCGUUGUUCGGAUUUACUGGGCGUAAAGCGCACGUAGGCGGACUAUUAAGUCAGGGGUGAAAUCCCGGGGCUCAACCCCGGAACUGCCUUUGAUACUGGUAGUCUUGAGUUCGAGAGAGGUGAGUGGAAUUCCGAGUGUAGAGGUGAAAUUCGUAGAUAUUCGGAGGAACACCAGUGGCGAAGGCGGCUCACUGGCUCGAUACUGACGCUGAGGUGCGAAAGCGUGGGGAGCAAACAGGAUUAGAAACCCGAGUAGUCCCAUGAU